GACGAACGCUGGCGGCGUGCUUAACACAUGCAAGUCGAACGGAAAGGCCCUUCGGGGUACUCGAGUGGCGAACGGGUGAGUAACACGUGGGUGAUCUUCCCUGCACUUUGGGAUAAGCCUGGGAAACUGGGUCUAAUACCGAAUAGGACCGCGCGCUUCAUGGUGUGUGGUGGAAAGCUUUGGCGGUGUGGGAUGGGCCCGCGGCCUAUCAGCUUGUUGGUGGGGUAAUGGCCUACCAAGGCGACGACGGGUAGCCGGCCUGAGAGGGUGACCGGCCACACUGGGACUGAGAUACGGCCCAGACUCCUACGGGAGGCAGCAGUGGGGAAUAUUGCACAAUGGGCGCAAGCCUGAUGCAGCGACGCCGCGUGAGGGAUGACGGCCUUCGGGUUGUAAACCUCUUUCACCAGGGACGAAGCGCAAGUGACGGUACCUGGAGAAGAAGCACCGGCCAACUACGUG
This 462-nucleotide ribosomal RNA is filed under the name uncultured bacterium. RNAcentral describes it as "partial 16S ribosomal RNA". It matches the Rfam family "Bacterial small subunit ribosomal RNA", at positions 28 to 507 of the family's 1533-position model. The record is from RNAcentral.